AAGUCGUAACAAGGUCUCCGUAGGUGAACCUGCGGAGGGAUCAUUAACAUCCACAUGGAUGGGUGGGGAACUCAUAUAUCAUAUAUAUGACCUACCUACCCAUACAUACACACACACUCGUGAACACUACACAUUAUACCUCGUGAACUAUAUAUAUAUCAAAUAUACUAUACAUAUCAAACCACUCCACGCAAUGGAUAUCUUGGUUCUCGUGUCGAUGAAGAAC
RNAcentral lists this unclassified non-coding RNA (226 nucleotides) under fungal sp. Its description in RNAcentral is "partial internal transcribed spacer region". The stretch from base 1 to 46 matches the Rfam family "Eukaryotic small subunit ribosomal RNA", at positions 1786 to 1831 of the family's 1831-position model. Lineage: Eukaryota; Fungi. The record is from RNAcentral.